This 376-nucleotide ribosomal RNA is filed under the name uncultured bacterium. RNAcentral describes it as "bacterial SSU rRNA". It matches the Rfam family "Bacterial small subunit ribosomal RNA", at positions 523 to 898 of the family's 1533-position model. The record is from RNAcentral.
AUACGUAGGUGGCAAGCGUUGUCCGGAUUUAUUGGGCGUAAAGCGCGCGCAGGCGGUCUUUUAAGUCUGAUGUGAAAUCUUACAGCUUAACUGUAAGCGGUCAUUGGAAACUGGGAGACUUGAGUGCAGAAGAGGAGAGUGGAAUUCCAUGUGUAGCGGUGAAAUGCGUAGAGAUAUGGAGGAACACCAGUGGCGAAGGCGACUCUCUGGUCUGCAACUGACGCUGAGGCGCGAAAGCGUGGGGAUCAAACAGGAUUAGAUACCCUGGUAGUCCACGCCGUAAACGAUGAGUGCUAGGUGUUAGGGGUUUCCGCCCUUUAGUGCUGCAGCAAACGCAUUAAGCACUCCGCCUGGUGAGUACGGCCGCAAGGCUGAA